AGAAUCAACGCUGGCGGCGUGCCUAACACAUGCAAGUCGCACGAGAAAGGGGAGCAAUCCCUGAGUACAGUGGCGCACGGGUGAGUAACACGUGAAUAAUCUACCUCCGAGUGGGGAAUAAACUGAGAGAAAUCUUAGCUAAUACCGCAUAAUACCCACGGGUCAAAGCAGCAAUGCGCUUGGAGAGGAGUUCGCGGCAGAUUAGUUAGUUGGCGGGGUAAUGGCCCACCAAGACGAUGAUCUGUAUCCGGCCUGAGAGGGCGCACGGACACACUGGAACUGAAACACGGUCCAGACUCCUACGGGAGGCAGCAGUGGGGAAUUUUGCGCAAUGGGGGAAACCCUGACGCAGCAACGCCGCGUGGAGGAUGAAGCCCCUUGGGGUGUAAACUCCUUUCGAUCGGGAAGAUAAUGACGGUACCGAUAUAAGAAGCCCGGCUAACUUCGUGCCAGCAGCCGC
Molecule: ribosomal RNA, 460 nt
Filed under: uncultured bacterium
Lineage: Bacteria
Description: SSU rRNA
Rfam family: Bacterial small subunit ribosomal RNA
Source: RNAcentral